Molecule: ribosomal RNA, 264 nt
Filed under: uncultured Glomus
Lineage: Eukaryota; Fungi; Glomeromycota; Glomeromycetes; Glomerales; Glomeraceae
Description: partial 18S ribosomal RNA
Rfam family: Eukaryotic small subunit ribosomal RNA
Source: RNAcentral
UUAAAAAGCUCGUAGUUGAAUUUCGGGAUCAGAUUGUCGGUCGUGCCUCGGUACGCACUGGCAUUAUUGGUUCCUACCUUCUGAAGAACCGCGAUGUCAUUAAUUUGGUGUCGUGGGGAGUCAGGACUGUUACUUUGAAAAAAUUAGAGUGUUUAAGGCAGGCGCACGCUUGAAUACAUUAGCAUGGAAUAAUGAAAUAGGACGUUUGAUUCUAUUUUGUUGGUUUCUAGGAUCGACGUAAUGAUUAAUAGGGAUAGUUGGGGG